UUAAAUUGAAGAGUUUGAUCAUGGCUCAGAUUGAACGCUGGCGGCAGGCCUAACACAUGCAAGUCGAACGGUAACAGGAAACAGCUUGC
This 89-nucleotide ribosomal RNA is filed under the name Escherichia coli. RNAcentral's name for it is "partial 16S ribosomal RNA". It matches the Rfam family "Bacterial small subunit ribosomal RNA", at positions 1 to 88 of the family's 1533-position model. Lineage: Bacteria; Pseudomonadati; Pseudomonadota; Gammaproteobacteria; Enterobacterales; Enterobacteriaceae. The record is from RNAcentral. RNAcentral also lists the same sequence under 1 other name.